Molecule: ribosomal RNA, 433 nt
Filed under: uncultured bacterium
Lineage: Bacteria
Description: partial 16S ribosomal RNA
Rfam family: Bacterial small subunit ribosomal RNA
Source: RNAcentral
AACGAACGCUGGCGGCAGGCCUAACACAUGCAAGUCGAGCGGACCCUUCGGGGUUAGCGGCGGACGGGUGAGUAACGCGUGGGAAUAUGCCCUUCUCUACGGAAUAGUCCUGGGAAACUGGGGGUAAUACCGUAUACGCCCUUUGGGGGAAAGAUUUCUCGGGGAAGGAUUAGCCCGCGUUGGAUUAGGUAGUUGGUGGGGUAAUGGCCUACCAAGCCGACGAUCCAUAGCUGGUUUGAGAGGAUGAUCAGCCACACUGGGACUGAGACACGGCCCAGACUCCUACGGGAGGCAGCAGUGGGGAAUCUUAGACAAUGGGGGCAACCCUGAUCUAGCCAUGCCGCGUGAGUGAUGAAGGCCUUAGGGUUGUAAAGCUCUUUCAGCUGGGAAGAUAAUGACGGUACCAGCAGAAGAAGCCCCGGCUAACUCCGUG